UUAGAGUUUGAUCCUGGCUCAAGAUGACCCCUUUCGGCAGGCUUAACACAUGCAAGUCGAGGGGCAGCAUGUCCAGCAAUGGAUGAUGGCGACCGGCGGAAGGGUGCGUAACGCGUGAGCAACAUGCCCUAUACAGGGAGAUACACCAGGGAAACUUGGUCUAAUAUCCCAUAUCAUUCAUUGAAGGCAUCUUUAAUGAAUUAAAGCUUCGGUGGUAUAGGAUUGGCUCGCGUGACAUUAGCCAGAUGGUGAGGUAACGGCUCACCAUAGCAAUGAUGUCUAGGGGUUUUGAGAGGAAGGCCCCCCACACUGGGACUGAGACACGGCCCAUACUUCUACGGGAGGCAGCAGUGAGGAAUAUUGGACAAUGGAUGGAAAUCUGAUCCAGCCAUGCCGCGUGCAGGAAGACGGCCUUAUGGGUUGUAAACUGCUUUUAUACGGGAGCAAUAAGGGUUACGAGUAAUCCGAUGAGAGUACUGUAUGAAUAAGGAUCGGCUAACUCCGUGCCAGCAGCCGCGGUAAUACGGAGGAUCCGAGCGUUAUCCGGAAUUAUUGGGUUUAAAGGGUGCGUAGGCGGCCAUUUAAGUCAGCGGUGAAAUUUUGCAGCUUAACUGUAACAGUGCCGUUGAUACUGUUUGGCUAGGAUUUGGUUGUAGUGUGCGGAAUGUGUGGUGUAGCGGUGAAAUGCUUAGAUAUCACACAGAACACCGAUUGCGAAGGCAGCACACUAAGUCAUUAUUGACGCUGAGGCACGAAAGUGUGGGGAUCAAACAGGAUUAGAUACCCUGGUAGUCCACACUGUAAACGAUGAUAACUCGCUGUCGGCGAUACACAGUCGGUGGCCAAGCGAAAGCAUUAAGUUAUCCACCUGGGGAGUACGACCGCAAGGUUGAAACUCAAAGGAAUUGACGGGGGCCCGCACAAGCGGAGGAACAUGUGGUUUAAUUCGAUGAUACGCGAGGAACCUUACCCGGGUUUGAACGGCAGGGGACUGAGGUGGAAACAUCUCAUCCAGCAAUGGUCCCUGUCGAGGUGCUGCAUGGUUGUCGUCAGCUCGUGCCGUGAGGUGUCGGCUUAAGUGCCAUAACGAGCGCAACCCUUGCUGUCAGUUGCUAACAGGUAAAGCUGAGGACUCUGGCGGGACUGCCAGCGUAAGCUGUGAGGAAGGCGGGGAUGACGUCAAAUCAGCACGGCCCUUACAUCCGGGGCGACACACGUGUUACAAUGGCGUGGACAAAGGGCAGCCACUUGGCGACAAGGAGCCAAUCCCGAAACCACGUCUCAGUUCGGAUCGGAGUCUGCAACUCGACUCCGUGAAGCUGGAUUCGCUAGUAAUCGCGCAUCAGCCAUGGCGCGGUCAAUACGUUCCCGGGCCUUGCACACAGCGCCCGUCAAG
This 1396-nucleotide ribosomal RNA is filed under the name uncultured bacterium. Its description in RNAcentral is "bacterial SSU rRNA". It matches the Rfam family "Bacterial small subunit ribosomal RNA". The record is from RNAcentral.